RNAcentral lists this ribosomal RNA (471 nucleotides) under Salmonella enterica. RNAcentral's name for it is "bacterial SSU rRNA". It matches the Rfam family "Bacterial small subunit ribosomal RNA", at positions 1 to 468 of the family's 1533-position model. The record is from RNAcentral. Lineage: Bacteria; Pseudomonadati; Pseudomonadota; Gammaproteobacteria; Enterobacterales; Enterobacteriaceae.
AAAUUGAAGAGUUUGAUCAUGGCUCAGAUUGAACGCUGGCGGCAGGCCUAACACAUGCAAGUCGAACGGUAACAGGAAGCAGCUUGCUGCUUCGCUGACGAGUGGCGGACGGGUGAGUAAUGUCUGGGAAACUGCCUGAUGGAGGGGGAUAACUACUGGAAACGGUGGCUAAUACCGCAUAACGUCGCAAGACCAAAGAGGGGGACCUUCGGGCCUCUUGCCAUCAGAUGUGCCCAGAUGGGAUUAGCUUGUUGGUGAGGUAACUGCUCACCAAGGCGACGAUCCCUAGCUGGUCUGAGAGGAUGACCAGCCACACUGGAACUGAGACACGGUCCAGACUCCUACGGGAGGCAGCAGUGGGGAAUAUUGCACAAUGGGCGCAAGCCUGAUGCAGCCAUGCCGCGUGUAUGAAGAAGGCCUUCGGGUUGUAAAGUACUUUCAGCGGGGAGGAAGGUGUUGUGGUUAAUAACC